UAGCCAGUCAGGAAUCAGUGCCCUAAUU
This 28-nucleotide non-coding RNA is filed under the name Homo sapiens (human). The record is from RNAcentral. Lineage: Eukaryota; Metazoa; Chordata; Mammalia; Primates; Hominidae.